GCGCAGCAGGCGAGAAUUUUUCACAAUGGGGGAAACCCUGAUGGAGCGACGCCGCGUGGAGGAUGAAGGCCUUUUGGUCGUAAACUCCUGUCAUGCGAGAACAAGAAAGUGAUAGUAUCGCAAGAGGAAGAGGCGGCUAACUCUGUGCCAGCAGCCGCGGUAAUACAGAGGCCUCAAGCGUUGUUCGGAUUCAUUGGGCGUAAAGGGUGCGUAGGUGGCUUGUUAAGUUGAAGGUGAAAUCUCGGGGCUCAACUCCGAAACUGCCUUCAAUACUGGCGAGCUCGAGGAUUGUAGAGGAGAAUGGAAUUCACGGUGUAGCAGUGAAAUGCGUAGAUAUCGUGAGGAAGACCAGUGGCGAAGGCGAUUCUCUGGGCAAUUCCUGACACUGAGGCACGAAGGCCAGGGGAGCAAACGGGAUUAGAUACCCGUGUAGU
This 434-nucleotide ribosomal RNA is filed under the name uncultured organism. RNAcentral's name for it is "bacterial SSU rRNA". It matches the Rfam family "Bacterial small subunit ribosomal RNA", at positions 346 to 794 of the family's 1533-position model. The record is from RNAcentral.